Bombyx mori (domestic silkworm) is the source of this 3900-nucleotide long non-coding RNA. RefSeq lists it as uncharacterized. NCBI's taxonomy places the organism in Eukaryota, Metazoa, Arthropoda, Insecta, Lepidoptera, Bombycidae. The transcript has 2 exons. The record is from RefSeq and is a predicted model, not a curated record.
UGUUAUUUGGUUUACAUUGGAGUGAAGUUUUUGAAAUGGAAUUUCCAAAACCAGUAUACUCCAUCAAAACAUCAACACCUAUGACUCUUAAACAAAUAUUGGAUAAACAUGUACAACUCUUUGAUGGAAAACUAGGAAAAGUUAACAAUUAUUACGUAAACAUACAUGUCAAACCAGAAGCUGAACCGAUCCACCUUCCUGCACGGCCUAUAAAAUUCAGCAUGAAAAAGAAUAUAGAAAGGGAGUUAGAUCGUCUGAUCUCAGAAGGGAUUGUGGAAAAAGUAGAUCCUAAUGUUACACCUAUUGAAUGGGCUACACCCACAGUUAACAUUUUGAAAUCUACAGGGGAAGUUAGGAUAUGUGGAGACUACAGAACUACACUUAAUCCAGUACUUAUUAAACAUCUACACCCAGUUCCAAUUUUCGAUCAACUACGCCAAAAUCUCGCAAACGGUAAAUUAUUUUCAAAAAUAGACCUUAAAGACGCAUACUUACAAUUUGAAAUAGCACCAGAUUCGAAAAAGUACUUGACGUUGUCAACCCAUAAAGGGUAUUUCCAAUACAAUAGAAUGCCUUUUGGAAUAUCGACUGCUCCUUCAAUUUUUCAACAUUUUCUGGAUCAAUUGCUUGGCGAUAUCACCAAUGUAGCUGUAUAUUUUGACGACAUAGCUAUAGCAGGGAAAGAUCUUUCAGAACAUUUACAAACUUUAUCUAUUGUAUUCGAUCGCUUACAAAACGCUGGCCUAAAAGUUAACUUAAAGAAAUGUAAUUUCUUACAGAAUCAGAUUGAAUACCUAGGUCACAUAAUAGAUAAACAUGGCAUCCACCCAACCAAAUCUAAAAUUGAUGCCAUAACUAAGGCCCCAGCACCGUGUAAUGCAAAAGAACUACGAUCAUUUUUAGGACUAGUUAACUUUUACGAACGGUUUGUACCACAUCUUCACGGGAUUUGUUCGGAUCUUCACGAUCUAACUAGUGAAAAAAAUAGAUGGCGUUGGACUGAUCAUGAAAACAGAAUAUUUGAAGAUACAAAGAAAUGCAUAGCUUCUUCACAACCAUUAAUUGCAUUUGACGAGAAACGUCCCCUUUAUUUAGCAUGUGACGCUUCCGAAAAGGGAUUGGGUGCAGUAUUAUUCCACAAGGACUCGAACAUAGAACAACCAAUUGCUUUUGCUUCAAGGAAAUUACGACCAGCGGAAAUGAAAUAUUCCGUUAUUGAUCGUGAAGCUUUAGCAAUAGUAUUUGGUAUAAAAAAAUUUGAUCAGUACUUGAGAGGAACGAAAUUUAAUCUAGUUACGGACCAUAAGCCUCUUAUACAUAUUAUGGGUGCACACCGCAACCUUCCUAAACUAGCCAAUAACCGAUUGGUAAGAUGGGCCCUAGUAGUGGGAAGUUAUCAAUAUGACAUUUACUACAGGAAAGGUGAAAAUAACACAUUAGCUGAUUGCCUUUCCAGAUUACCAAACCCUGAAACUGAACCUUCCGAGACAGAAGGGCUUGUACAUAAAAUAGAUCUACGUCUUUUGAGCACUCGAAUGACUGACCUUAACCUAUCAGAACAGUUACUUAUGAAUACAACUUCAAAGGAUCAUAUACUCACAAAAGUUUGUCAAAAUUUAAAAACCGGCUGGAGAGAAUCAGAAUACAAUCCAGAAAUGAAACCAUUCUACAGAAACCGGACUGAAUUAUCUGUUGAGAAUAAGAUACUCAUGAGGCAAGGACGCAUCGUUAUACCUACAGCACUACGAAAAGCCAUUCUUACAUACCUUCAUCGAGGACAUCCUGGCAUUUCUGCUAUGAAAGCACUUUCACGUUACUAUGUUUGGUGGCCUAACCUUGACGAAGACAUAGAAUUAUUUGUCAAGAAAUGUACCAGAUGCCAACAGAACCGCUCUUGUAAUCCUGAACUUCCUGUAUUUUCCUGGUCCAUACCAGAAGAAGUAUGGGAGAGAAUCCAUAUCGACUUUGCUGGACCGUUCGAAGGAUCGUAUUGGUUGGUAUUGUGCGACGCUCUCUCCAAAUGGGUGGAAAUACGACCGAUGAAACACAUCAACACCAGAUCACUUUGUCUUACAUUAGAUAACAUAUUUUGUACAUUUGGCUUACCAAAAAUGAUUAUAUCCGAUAAUGGACCUCAAUUUACAUCUUAUGAAUUUAAAGAAUAUUGCACAAAACAAUCUAUUUUACAUGUCACAUCAUCUCCAUAUCAUCCUCGGACAAAUGGGCUGGCAGAACGUUUAGUCAGAACAUUCAAAAAUAGAAUGGCAUCGGUAGACAACACAAAUCUCGAGCGCCGACUAUUAGAAUUUUUGUUUACAUACAGAAACACUCCGCACUCGUCCACUGGUAAAUCUCCAGCUGAGAUGAUGUUUGGACGACAAUUGAAUUGCAUACUUUCCAACAUUCGGCCAGACAAAAGAAGAUUAAUGCAGUAUUUACAAGUAAAAGAAAACAUUCGUACCACAUCACCGAGUUACCGACCAAGUGACCAAGUAUAUAUUAAAACACGCAAUGAUAAAAUAUGGGAACCAGCGGUAAUUACAUCCCGAAAACAUAAAUAUUCAUAUAUUGUUUCAACACCAGGAGGACUAGAAAAACGAAGACACGCUGAUCACAUCAGGCCACGCGAGUCCUCCACCUCAGAAACCCCGAGGAAUGAAAGGGCGCAUUCUUCUAUGCUGCCGGCGACUGCUUCUCCAGACAUUGGAAUGGAAACAACAAUUAACGAAAGGCUAACUAAAAACAAGAAUUCAGCAGCAGUACCAUUACCUACACCGCAGUCACCUACAAAUGUACAAAUUUCUCCAAAUUCACCUUCACAGCAUUCGAAGUUAUACUCCUCACCUGCUCCGGUCUACACUCCUGUGCCAUUUGCUCCGCGUCGAAGUAAUCGACGUAUACAGGCACCCCGCCGUCUGAUCAACGAGAUGUAGAUGGGGAGGAAUGUUGUAACCUUCUUUUCCAUAUUCCAUUAUUUGAAAUAUACUUCGAACACAUUGUCAUUUUUACCAUCUAUCAUUAUUAUAUUUUAUGCUAUGUCUUGAAAACAUUGUUUUAUUAUAUUUAUAAUAACUUCUAGCGUGUGUGACUUACUUGCACAUACAUUUUUUUUUGUUAAAUAAAAAUUUCUUCAGCAUUAAACGUAUAAAUGUGGAGACUUAUUAACAGUUCGACUUCUGUGCACAAGUAUGAGAAAAUGAAAUCAAGUCGAUGACUAUGGCAUUUCGGGUUCUUCCAAAACGGCUAUUGAGUUUUUAGUGUAUUUCCACUUUUUGUGAAUUAUUGAAGCUCAUUUAAUUCAAUUUUCAUACAACAAAGAGAAAUUCGACCAUUGUUACAAAAUAGUUGCUAGUAUAGCUUACAUUCCCUCUGCGUAUUCAUUCAUAGACGAAACAAAAAGUUACCGCAUGUCAAAGAAUUUACAAAUAAUCAUAAGAUUCAUAAGUAAUCUGUGCAAAGAAUAAAAACAGCACUCCGGAUUUACUAAAUUUGUUUUAAAUUACUUUCAAAAUGUAUUUCCAAUUGUGUUUCCUGUUAUUCACAAUUCUUGGUAUAAGCAAUGUGGAAGCAUCUACAGGUUACGACUUUGGUGACUUUUUGGCUACUGUUUUAGGUAUCGGUAUAGCCGUUGUAGGAAUUUUAGCCUGUUUGGGUAAUUACGCACGGCAAAGGGCGAGAAACGAGUUUAUAUAGGUUCAUCAAAACUUGCCAUCUUGUUUCAGCACACGCAAGUCUAGAAUAAAUGAAUAUGGAAAAAAAUAUCUCAUUCCAUCCCAUAUACCUGUCAUCUAUCCAAGAAACUUCCAAGCUAUAUAGAAUAAGUUAAAAGUACUAAUUUACUGUUUCGUUAUUAUAUAAAUGUAAUGAAUAUUAACUAAUAAUACAUUUAUUACUAAAUUA